UUCACAGUGGCUAAGUUCGUCA
Molecule: microRNA, 22 nt
Filed under: Maylandia zebra (zebra mbuna)
Lineage: Eukaryota; Metazoa; Chordata; Actinopteri; Cichliformes; Cichlidae
Also listed under: 1 other name
Description: mze-miR-27d-3p
Gene: mze-miR-27d-3p
Source: miRBase by way of RNAcentral